UACUCGCGUAUAUAUAGCUUCGAAGACAUGUAUUUUUUCCCUUUAUUUCCUUACAACUUUGUCCUAACUUAAACAGUUUCAGCUCAAUUUGUAUUUUCUUAAUAAGGGGUUUGUGAUUUAUUGAUUGUUGGUUGCUUAACAUCCAAUGGCAAAUAUUUCAUGCGCGUUCUGAACGGUAAGAGGUUAGUGUAAUACAUGACCCACUACUCACUGGUUGAAUAUCCCUGCAGCGUUUCAAAUGCAUUGCAUAAUGACUUUGCAUUUACACCAUAACAUCAUUUUAUGCAGAUAUUUU
This 295-nucleotide long non-coding RNA is filed under the name Mytilus galloprovincialis (Mediterranean mussel). Lineage: Eukaryota; Metazoa; Mollusca; Bivalvia; Mytilida; Mytilidae. The record is from RNAcentral.